This 87-nucleotide transfer RNA is filed under the name Bacillota bacterium. RNAcentral's name for it is "tRNA-Leu". It matches the Rfam family "tRNA". Rfam says of the family: Transfer RNA (tRNA) molecules are approximately 80 nucleotides in length. Their secondary structure includes four short double-helical elements and three loops (D, anti-codon, and T loops). Lineage: Bacteria; Bacillati; Bacillota. The record is from RNAcentral.
GCGGAUGUGGUGGAACUGGCAGACACGUAGUCUUGAGGGGGCUAUGCUUCUAUAAGCGUAUGGGUUCGAGUCCCAUCAUCCGCACCA